GACGAACGCUGGCGGCGUGCUUAACACAUGCAAGUCGAACGGAAAGGCCCUGCUUUUGUGGGGUGCUCGAGUGGCGAACGGGUGAGUAACACGUGAGUAACCUGCCCUUGACUUUGGGAUAACUUCAGGAAACUGGGGCUAAUACCGGAUAGGAGCUCCUGCUGCAUGGUGGGGUUGGAAAGUUUCGGCGGUUGGGGAUGGACUCGCGGCUUAUCAGCUUGUUGGUGGGGUAGUGGCUUACCAAGGCUUUGACGGGUAGCCGGCCUGAGAGGGUGACCGGCCACAUUGGGACUGAGAUACGGCCCAGACUCCUACGGGAGGCAGCAGUGGGGAAUAUUGCACAAUGGGCGGAAGCCUGAUGCAGCAACGCCGCGUGCAGGAUGACGGCCUUCGGGUUGUAAACCGCUUUCGCCUGUGACGAAGCGUGAGUGACGGUAAUGGGUAAAGAAGCACCGGCUAACUACGUG
This 467-nucleotide ribosomal RNA is filed under the name uncultured bacterium. RNAcentral's name for it is "partial 16S ribosomal RNA". It matches the Rfam family "Bacterial small subunit ribosomal RNA", at positions 28 to 507 of the family's 1533-position model. The record is from RNAcentral.